GCCACUUUAGCUCAGCUGGUAGAGCAACUGAUUUGUAAUCAGUAGGUCGCUGGUUCGAUUCCGGCAAGUGGCUCCA
Molecule: transfer RNA, 76 nt
Filed under: bacterium
Lineage: Bacteria
Also listed under: 5 other names
Description: tRNA-Thr
Rfam family: tRNA
About the family: Transfer RNA (tRNA) molecules are approximately 80 nucleotides in length. Their secondary structure includes four short double-helical elements and three loops (D, anti-codon, and T loops). Further hydrogen bonds mediate the characteristic L-shaped molecular structure. tRNAs have two regions of fundamental functional importance: the anti-codon, which is responsible for specific mRNA codon recognition, and the 3' end, to which the tRNAs corresponding amino acid is attached (by aminoacyl-tRNA synthetases). tRNAs cope with the degeneracy of the genetic code in two manners: having more than one tRNA (with a specific anti-codon) for a particular amino acid; and 'wobble' base-pairing, i.e. permitting non-standard base-pairing at the 3rd anti-codon position.
Source: RNAcentral